This is a long non-coding RNA of Humulus lupulus (European hop), 5495 nucleotides long. RefSeq lists it as uncharacterized. NCBI's taxonomy places the organism in Eukaryota, Viridiplantae, Streptophyta, Magnoliopsida, Rosales, Cannabaceae. The record is from RefSeq and is a predicted model, not a curated record. The transcript is spliced from 7 exons.
UGCUAAUCACACUAUAAGGCAGGUUUCACGAUUAGUGGUAUUUCUCAAAGAGAAGAAGGGACUACUAGGGGCAACUCAAUUCUCGCAACAUCAUCCUAAAUCGAUCCUACCUCACUUAUUUAGGCACUACACUAAAUACCUCUUUCUAUAAUACAUAAUUAUAAGCUGAUUGGAAAUAUAUUAUAAAACGCAACCUAAAAAGUUAGAAAGCUGUAAAGUUAAAAUGGAGGAAAAAAAAAAAAAAAACAAAAGCAAAAACAAACUCAAAAUAUUCUCAUCAAAAACAAAAAGAAAGGCCCUUUUAACGGUAACUCCACUUCUCGUCAGCCACGAUUUCCACUUCUCUUCCCUCCAAUGCGCGGGAGGAAGGCAGCGCCACCGUCACACUCAGCCACGGGAAGGCAGUGCCACCACCAUCUUCACAGGAAGUCGCAACCCUCCGAGAGCUCGAGGUGUGCUACGGGAUGGUGGGGGCUCGCGACUUUGGGCGUGCGGCGGGGAGGUCGACGAGGAUUUGCUGCAACAAAAGGUCUAGACCUUUGGAGUUGAGUCAGCAUCACUUUCUUGACAGGGAGCACAACAAUAACAGCAAGGCUCGGCAGUUCUCUGCUUAGUCAAAUUUGAGGCUUGUGCCCUUUGCUAAGAUUACAGAGAACAUUGGGGAUUGGGCUUCGUUGUGAUGCCACUUCUCUAACAAUAUACCUCGUUGGAGAGGGAGCUCCUGGCUGAAUUCCUAGAGAGAAGUUGCUGAUGAAUUCAGAGCUCAACUUAUUGUUAUAGGCUGUGAAUGAGUUCUUAAGGAGGUGCUUUGCUGUCUAUAUCACCACUCUUUCCAAAAUAUAUUAACUUGUUUUGGCCAAAGCAGCUACAAAGGAAUAUGAGAGAAAAGCUUGGGAGUUUGUGAAGACUACGGUAGGAAAUAUAAACAACUUGGAGUGUUUGGCUUUGUUCUCUCGAAACAAAUUCUAAAAACUGAGUUAUAAGAAAUAGGAAAUUCAGAAAAUGAGUUAAUUGUGCUUUCAAAGUUCUUAGAAAACUCUUGAGAUACAUUGUAUGCGGAUUUAUAUAAUUAAAGCUGCAUGUAUUGAAGUUGUUAUAAACAACUUAACAUUAUAUAUAUAUAUAUAUUUAUAUAUAUACCUUUUUUUGGAGUAAAGCGUUUGAUGUAAGUUUUUGAAGUAUUUAUUGGACUUUAUUAGAGUGUUGUACUAUAUGAGUUCAAGCUUUUACCAGACAUAGCCAUUAGUUAUGUUUUAAUUGUCAUUAGUGAUACAUCUUUUGCUAUUGGUUAAUACAUGUGACAGUGAGAAUCCAUUUCUUACGGCUUUAGGCUUCUCUUUUGUGAUUUCUUGCUACAAAUGAUAAAACUUAUAGGGUAACUCUUGAUGGUUUAUUCUGUUGUGCUAUAUGUUUUAUUUCUGCAGCAAUUGUUGUAGUAGUUAUAACAUAUAUAUCAUAGGAAAAGUAGUGUUCUAGAGGGCAAAUAUGUUUUGAAAAAAAUUAUGCAAGUUUUGUUUGUUUUCAUUAAGCAACAAACUCCUAAAUGGAAAACAAAAUUUAUGUUAGUGCCCAUCAAAAGCUACAGAUAGAUCCAACUAAGUUUUAUAACUUCCAUGCCUAGUUAGUUACCUCAUUUGCUAGUUAAUUUCAUAUUGAAGAAUAAGUUGAACAACUCUAAAUUAAUGCAUGCAUGAACCUUGUUUUUUAGUUUUCUCAAAUUUUACAUCCUUGAAAGAAUGGGAAGAUGCUAGUUCGUUUAUAAUGAACAUUAAGUUAGGUGAUUAAUUUUCCUCAUCUUGUGUAUUUAUUUGGUAUUUCUAUUUUUGCAUCAAAUAGUCUGGUAAACAAAUUUAAAAAUCAAUAUUCAUUUGCUCUUAUCUUAGUUUGAGUAUAGUAUAAUUUUGCGUCAUAUAGGCUUUGUUUUUGUUCAAAAAAGUAUAAUAUAUUUUUUACUAGUGAUUUCUACUCUGUGCUGCGCAUACCUCAUACCCACCACCUGCAAUUUUGAUUAUCCUCUUCAUCGCUCCUGAGUUUUUAUUGGUGAGGAAAACAAAUAAUAUUUCAGGUUAUUUUAAUUGUGUUGAUAUUAUGUUCUCUAGUAACAUAUAUCUAAUAUUAAUGUUUGUUUUAUUUGAUUUUUACUUUUAUAUUACGGAAUGUUCUUCUUGAUUAAUUUAUUAACAAAAUGUCAUUUUAGUUUGUAAUUGACUAUUGUAUAGCUGGUUUAUAAGUGGAUAUCUAAUAAUUAUUAUUUUGUCUUUUCUUUUGCUUAUGUUUGUUUCUUUAUUUUGCACUUAUGUUUGCUUCAAGAAUAUUAGUUUAACAAGGUCUAUUUAAUGCCUUUUAGAUUUAUGUUUGUGUUUAUAUUCAAAUUUCUUUCAAUAUUUAACUGUAGUUGGAAGUACUGGCUGCACUAAGGACCUUGAUAGCGAAGUCAAAGAGAUUGCACAAACUUUUGCUUGAAAAUGUUAUUGUUUUUUUAUUUGCUAUAUCAUUAACUUGCAUCCUAAUUAUGAUGGUGGGAAUAAACAAGUUUGGUUGAGAAUUGCAAAACCAAACUAUAAUUUAGUUAGCAAAUAGUUUCAAGUGUUCUAAGGAUAGUUUCAAGUCUCCUGUAUUGCAGGUGCAGAAAAGCUCAUGCAAUUUCAUUAAAUUCACAGAUCUUGUACUUAGGUAUGUUUUUGCUGUUAUGGAUUCCCCUCUAUUUCAUCAGAUUUAGAAAAACUGUAAAUCUGAUAUUUGUGUAUAUAUUUUGUCUUCAUAGUAUUUAUUUUUUUGCCUCUUUCACUUUUAUCUAUUUUUUCACAUUACGUUUGAGCUUUGAGAUAUUGGGUUUGUAUUAUGUCUUGACUUAACUUUGAUGUGUUUGGUUUUUGUAAGUUCAAAUUUCCACGAGCCCUAGAUCAUGGUAUUCUUGUGAGAAUUCUCAUAUUCCAUUAUAAGUACACUUUUAACUAGCUUAUGUCUUGCAUUGAAACACUGUCAUGCUGGAAUAUACAUAUCAAUAUGUAUGUCAUACAUUAUUCUCUGCCUUUAUUUUUUGAAUUUUUAAUUAAUUCAUAGCUUGCAUACCUAAUUAUAUUUUAUAAUAUUUGAUUGGGAUUAAUUAGUAGCUUAGCUAAUCUCUGCCACUUUUUUGGGCAUUGAAAUAUUUUUUUUAUGGGACUGAGAUUUUGUUAUAUUUUAAGUUGUGGAUUUUUUUAAGUGGCAGUCUUUCUUUUUUUCCUUUUAAACAUUGACCUAACUGAUUAAUUGUUUUUAAUCCUUUUGAGUCAAAUAUUUGAGAAAUCACUACCAUAUUUAAUCAAUGGCAAGAGAAAGAUCCAAUAGUCUUAAUAAGAGAUAUAAUUAGUUCUUGUCUACCUAGAGAUACAAUCUUGGUACAAACAAUUAAAUAUGUUGAGUAGCUUAAUUGUAAUUGAACUGUGUUUAGUUGUUGGGUUAUUUUCUCUUUUUCUAUUCAUUUAGCCAUUUUACCAAGUAAAACUAAUGGCCUAUGUGUAGACUAUGAUAACCUUUUAGUUAGCAUUUUUUGUAGCAUUGUUUGUUUUUUUAUUUUGGAAUGCUAGUACUGGAUCUAAUUUUCACUGCUGCUUUUGUCUUUUCUUGUGUAGGUGUAUAAAAUUUUCGUAAAAUGAUAUAUAUAUAUAUAUUGGUUUGCUAAAGUUACCUGAAUGGAGUUACUGAAUGAGAUAUGAUUGGUCAUUCCCUGAAUAGUUAUUUAUGUUGGUGAUGGUCAUUCAUUUUAUGGUUUUGCUUAUUGGUUUUAUUGAAGAUAUGAGACUAUUCUAAGUAUGAGGCUGCUCUUGUUUUUUCUUAGUCUACUCUCCCUAAUAAAUCGGUUUUGUGGAAUGUCUUUGCCUUUUUUAGUGGUCAGUUCAGACAUUAUACUUGUAAGCAUGACUUCUAUUUCUGACAUUUUGUAGUUGAUUGAUUGUUUAUAAGCUAGUCUUUGACAAGUCUAAUGUUCUUAAUGAUUAAAGGACUUUUUUCUUUUGCAAUGUCCAGGUAUAUUGAGAUGUCUUUCUUUGGAGCAAUGCUAUACAAAGUUUAUGGUUGAAGUUUAUAGAAUAAAAGAAUGUGUUCUACCUACUUUGUAUACAUUUCCUAAAUUGUACCGGUCCUCAAAAAUAUAUUUGUACAAUUUUAAGGGUGUUUUGAGUAUAUUAAAUGAAGUGGAUUUGAAUUAAAGCAAUAAAAAAUAAUUAUAAUGUACAGUGUUAUAUAAUAAUAAUUCAAGCUUAUCCAAAUAUUAGAAUAAUACAAAAAAGUGUUAUUGUAUCUUUUCCAAUAACAUUGGUUUAUAAGCAUAAAAUUAUGUUAUGCAAACUAUUUUCUAUAAUGUAGAAAAUGUGUUAUUAUAAAGUGUAUCAUAACACUACUUUAUAAGUACAAAAAAUUGUUAUAUAAUCUAUUUAUAAAUAGCAUAAUGAUACCAUAACACAUGUCUAUAACUAUGGAAAAAUGUUAUUCAAAGUGCUUCCACCUACUAUAACACUGCUUUCUUUAACACAUCAAAAAAUGUUAUGGUAUAUAUUUGAUAAUACUUUUUCGGUCUUAUUGAAAGCAGUUUUUCUUGUAGUGCCGGGGAAAUUUCUCAAAGGAAAUGUACUUGUAGGAGCCGACUCCGAUCUCGUAAUGAGAUCCUAAAUCAUGAUUGCUUCACCUAUUUACAGUGUAUUUCGGAUUGUUGGAAAGGCCUGUGAUAACUUCAUUUUAGGGUCAUUUUAGAAGGUGUUUCUGUGGUAAUCUUGAGUUUUUAUGUGUGUUUUGUGCAAGAUUACGCUUUUGUUUGUCUUUGUUAUAGGAUGGUGCGACGAAUCACAAGAAAAAUGCAAAAAGAAGCGAAAAUGGUGGAAAAACGAGGCUCUUGGUGGUUAUUGGGCUAAAAAUGAUACUAAGGAUUCUUAAAGGAUGGUUUUUGAUGAAGAGAUGAGCUGAAAGAUCUAAUCUGAGAAAAAAUUGAAUUAAAGUCGCAAGCAACUUGGAUAUAUGAGUCGCGACUCAAGGUGAAGUCAGAGUAGCAUAUGCUUGCUGGAAGGAAUUAAUGUCGCGACUUGGGCUUACAAGUCACGACUCAAGAGGGAAAUAGAGGCUCAGAUAAGGGGAAACUCAGACACGGGCCUCGACUUGAGAUUCUUGAGUCGCGGUGCCUAAAGACUUUACAAGAGAAGGAAAGGCUCCAAAACAAACACAGGCUGCGACCUAGAGAAGGCCAAGUCGCGGCCCGCAUACGAAAAAACACAGAUUCUUGUAAUUUUUUAAUAUAAAUUUGUAUUUAGUCAUUAGGUCAGUUUUUAAUUACGUCUUAGAGACAAAUUUUGUUUCUUAGGCUAGUAAUUCUGCAAUUUUAUAUUUUUCUUUCUUCUUUAAGUUUAUGAAUCUUAUGUUCUUUAAUUAUUAUUUUAUUGAUUUAGUCAUGUUUGAUAUGAACUAAACAAUUUUUAUCUAGGGUUUAAUGUAGUCACUUGGAUUUCUAUCUAAUUGAAUUAUGA